UGUGGGAGCGAGCUUGCUCGCGAUAGCGGUGGGUCAGUCAAUAUUUGAAUUGAAUGAUGAAUUGCAAUCGCGAGCAAGCUCGCUCCCACA
This 90-nucleotide unclassified non-coding RNA is filed under the name Pseudomonas brassicacearum. The record is from RNAcentral. Lineage: Bacteria; Pseudomonadati; Pseudomonadota; Gammaproteobacteria; Pseudomonadales; Pseudomonadaceae.